This 3493-nucleotide long non-coding RNA is filed under the name Homo sapiens (human). RNAcentral's name for it is "HSALNT0368537". Lineage: Eukaryota; Metazoa; Chordata; Mammalia; Primates; Hominidae. The record is from RNAcentral.
UAUUGAUCCAUUGAACAAAUAUUUAUUGAAGACUGAGUCUGUUGUUCUAGAGCUGGGACAUCAUUUUCCCCCUCUCUUCUACUGCCAGGAUCCUGCCUCUCUGGCCUUGGGACACUCCAAGACAGUGGGAGAGGACAGUCUGUCUAGUAAUCCUACUCAGGGAUCUCGCCUGGGCCUGGGAGAGAUGGCGGAGAGUCUGAGGACUUCGAAGGUGGGAAGGAGACCUCCUGGCGAGCCUGGCAGAAGCUCUGCUAAACGAUGUGGCCUCAUGCUCCUUGUUUCCUGCUGGGUCCCGACUUCAGCUCUUCCUUCCACCAGCCAGUCUGGAGCUUAGCCGUGUUGUGUCACCUCGUUCUCCUGGGCUCUCUUCCUGCUCCUGCCUGUGAUUCCAGCCUGUGGUUAUGUCCUGCUACCUUCCCCUGCCUGGCUUAGGUCCCCAAGAGGCAUUUCGACCUAGAUCCCAGGGAUGAUGCCUGGAUUCCACUCAGCCCAUCUUAGGGUCUUCCCUCUAUUGAGAAAUCCUUGCCGGGCUCUAAAACACAUCUCUCUUGCUUAAGUUACUUCCUUUGGCUUGAAAACAGCAAGGGGAGUGCUGGGAGCAGUCUGGGUGGAGAGGCAAUUUCAAGGAGACAGCGGGGGAGGAGAGGACAGGGCUGGAUCUGGGCCGGGAGACACAGGGCUGGCCCGGGCCAGGAGAGAGGAGGAGCAAGAGUGAGCUGUUAAAUGAUUAGGAAACUCAGAACAGGAAUGGGAAGCAAAAGUGCCAGGAUGCAGGGGGCCUAAGGCCAAAGAGUGGGGUGGCUAGAGCCACCCCUCCCCAAACAGCCUGGCAUCCCAUGGGUCAGAAAGGCCAAGGAUGGGCAUGGUUAGCUUUCACAUGUGAAGUCUGGAAGUGCUUUGUAGGCAGGGUGGGAGGCUGAGAGGGUCCAGGGGUGCCCAGCACAGUGGGGAGGUAGCACCCCUUCCAGCAGCAGCAGCCAGUUCAUUAGACUCAGAGGGACUGCUGUCUGCCCCUUCUUUGCCUCCCCUCUAGACAAAUCACUACCCCAUUUCCUGUUGUGAUUUCGAAAACACACACAGGUGAGUGCCUGGGACCAGCCACCCUACACACCAGGGCAGGCCAGUCAGCAUCUCCUGGGGAGGGGGAUGACCCAGAAACUGGGGGAGGGGCUAGGGGAGAGACACUGACGUCCUCAGUUUGGGACCCAUAAUUAGUUUGUGGGAGAGAGCAAAACAACCAUCCUCAGGGUGACAGCCAGACAUUCAGGCGGCAGGGACGUGGAGCAGGGGGAGGGCAGGGAGGAAGGGACAGAAGCUGGGAUGAGAGAAACCCACUCAUUUACCCCACAAGCAUUUCCCCUUGGACUCUUCUAGCCUCCUGGACUCUGCCCCUGAGAGGCCCAGUGAGUUUAGCAGACUGGGAGGCAAGGCAAAUCUGUUUGCCAAGGGAGGGGUACCAGCUUCUCCUGGGGAGGAAGUCAGAUAAGGAGAUGAGGCCAGAGUAGAAGUUGAGAAGGUUACCUCCAGGACACCCCAUAGCCACCUACCCAGAAGCCCACUGUAUGGCAAGAUGCAGGGCUGGGGAGGAAACUGACAAGCUGUCUGCCCAGACAGGCCUGUUGAGUAGGUCAGUGGACAAGGAACAGGGGGAGGGCAGCUGCACAAGAGGGUCUAGCACCAAUCCCACCCCAUCAGCCAUGGGGUUCCCUGAGUCGCCCACUCGUUAAGAGCUCAGCCAACCAGGCUUGACAGCCCCCAGCUCAGCACCCCAAGGAGGACACAUGUCUGAUCACAGGUGAGCUGUGGACAGCAGCAGCCCAAGGACGCUAUCAGGGAUGCUCUGGAGGAGCCAAAGGCAGAAAUGUGAACCUUACGCUGAGGCCACGGAGAGUGAGGGCUCUCAGAGGAACCCCUGCUCGCCACCAUCCCGGGGAGGGGCCUUUCUCUCUCCCAGAAUGAAUCCCUUGUAACCUCCUGGGAUCUUUCUUUUCAUCACAAGAACCAAAUAAAGAAACUUGAAGAUCUUCUAGAGAGGCCCAAGGUUCACAAUCCUCAACUUCAAAGUGUGCUGUCCUUUACCACUGGCUUUCACUCCAGUUAAUCUGAUCUAGACAGACAAGCUCAAACCCAUUAUGCAGAUUAGGAAACCAAGGCAGAGAUGGGAAUUCUGGUUUACUAAACAGUUACAGAUCAAGUUAAUCUCCCUUAGGGGGUCAGAUCAACCACAGGCCAGAUUCUUCCUCUCAGCCCUGUGGUGCAUUUCUUUGGAAAUGUGAUGCUGCCAGAUGUUGACUUUUAAGGUUGCUGGUGUAACAGCCUCUGAGAUGGGCAGGGCUGUUCCCGGCAGUGGGUCUACACCCAGCUAUGCUCGUGCCCCUUUCUGUGACACCCCUUCUUCCACAACUAGGAUAGCAAAAGUGUAGCCUAGGGAGAAGCCUGAAUGGAAGCAUCCAGGAUAUUCUAAAAUCUCAUGUGGCUCACGCUCCUCUCCCAGCCUCAUUCACUGCCACAAAGCCACAGAGAAAUAACCUCAGUACUGCCCUCCCCCGAUGGCAGCAGAGAGUCCAUUGGCAAUGGUCCCCGAGGGAAACGAUGGCCCAUGGAGACAGAGCAGCUGGGCCCCAGCUCCUUUACCCUCAGCUGCAGCCUAACAGGGCACCUCAGGCUUCCGCUCCUUCUUUCCCUAGCCUUGGCUCCCACUGCACCGGAAAGUCCCUCUGCAGUCUAGUCAACACUCCCCUCUCAGAGAAGGGACAGUCCCUGGUCUCUGGAGAUUGACCAUUCACUGCCCCCUCAGCCCUUGGCCAGAAAUGCAGGGGCCAUCCAGACACUUGCUCAGAGAGCUGGGAGGGAGCGUGCCGGUGGCUCUGCCCCUGCCUCAAACACACACCAUUGUAUCCAGCCUCCUGCUUCUCCUGCCCCAGACAGGACCAUCCUGUGUAACUCCCGGCCUCUGUUCAAGAUAGGGUCCACCUUCCCUGUCUCCCCUACCCUCCCCAGCCCUCCAAGCUGAGAGCAGGUGACUCACGGAGCGGUUAUCCGGCUGCAGGAGGUAUCCUUCAACACAGCCACAUAUGAAGGAGCCGUCUGUGUUGGUGCAUAGCUGGCUGCAGGUGCCGUACACUGAGCACUCAUCAAAAUCUGCCGAGGAAAGGGCAAGAAUGUGGUCAUUUCCAGUGUGACAAGGGCAACGAAGUGGGUGAUCAUCAGACAUGAUCAACAUGUCCAUCCUUACAGCUACCUUGAAGGACAGUUCGGCAGAAUCUAUUACAGCAUGAAAUGUGCAAACCUUAACACCCAGCAAGUCCAGUCUUGGAAUCCACUCUAGAGAAACACUCGUGUACAUAUCACUCAUCCACGCAGGGAAGAUUUAUUGAGUCCCUACUAUGGGUCAGGUGCCAGGGGUGCAUCAGUGAACUUUAAAAUAGACCCACAUUGCUGUCCUCAUGAAACUUAUAUUCAGAUAAUAAAUGAAAUAUAGUUACUAUAAUAA